AGGGAUUCCCCUAGUAGUGGCGAAUGAAGCGGGAAAAGCUCAAGUUUGAAAUCCGAAGUUUACUUCAGAGUUGUAAGCUGAAGAGGUGUCGACCGACCUGGUCCGGGCCCAAUUUCCUUGGAACAGGAGGUCAUGGAGGGUGAGGACCCCGUCUGUGGCUCGGGUGCUGUGGUCCUUGUGUCAUGCCCUCGAAGAGUCGGGUUGUUUGAGAAUGCAGCUCAAAAUGGGUGGUAAAUUUCAUCUAAGGCUAAAUAUUGGCGAGAGACCGAUAGCAAACAAGUAGAGUGAUCGAAAGAUGAAAAGUACUUUGAAAAGAGAGUGAAACAGUACGUGAAAUUGUUGAAAGGGAAGCGUUUGGCAUCAG
RNAcentral lists this ribosomal RNA (364 nucleotides) under uncultured Archaeorhizomycetes. RNAcentral describes it as "eukaryotic LSU rRNA". It matches the Rfam family "Eukaryotic large subunit ribosomal RNA", at positions 70 to 432 of the family's 3401-position model. The record is from RNAcentral. Lineage: Eukaryota; Fungi; Ascomycota; Archaeorhizomycetes.